This is a non-coding RNA of Python bivittatus (Burmese python), 859 nucleotides long. The record is from RefSeq and is a predicted model, not a curated record. Lineage: Eukaryota; Metazoa; Chordata; Lepidosauria; Squamata; Pythonidae.
GGCAGGCGGCUUCAGGCGCAGAGCGCGGCGCGCUAGAAGAAGGAAGGAAGGAAGAGAGGAGGCGAGGAGGCGAGCGAGCGGGCGGGCAGACGCGAUGUAGCGGAGAAGUAUUGAGACUUAGUAGUUCUACUAUGCAUUGAUGGGCAGCGGCGUACUGCAUUUCCCACAAGGUUUCUGUAAAACUGUAUUGGCGUGAAGGAAAAAAAUUGGGUAGGCCGAACAAAUAUACUGGGGACAUCGAGGAGAUAAUGGGAUUAUGUGAUCAAGAAGGCAAAUGAAUGUAGCUUGAAUCUAAUGGUUUACAUCCAGCAUUUUCUCAGUAUUCAGAUAUUUAGAUGCUAUGAUGCAUCUGUACUCACAAAUGUCAGAACUAUGCAAGCAGAAGUUGGACUUUGAAGAAGAUAAAAAGACUUUUGAACAUUGGUAUUAGAAAAGAUUCUUGACAAUAUCAAGGAUAGCCAAGAAAACAAAUGAAUAGAUCAUAGAACAAAUCAACCCAGAGUUCUCACUCAAGAACCAAAUAACCAGGCUCAAAUUAUAUUUUGGUCACAUUAUCUGAAAUCCCAACUUCCUUGAGGAGUUCAUAAAGUUGGGAAAGGUGGAAGGAAAGAGGAGAAGACGAUGAUCAGCAGAAAGAUGAAUGGACUUGAUUACAACAGAGAUGAGUACGCUGUUGGGAGACCCAAAAGGCCAGGUUGGGAACAGCUCAUCUUGAAAAAGGUCUAGCUAUGUGGUCACUAUGAGUCAACACCAGCUUUUGGUACACAAUCAAGCUUGCUCUUCUGUUCUUAUCUCUAGGUUGUCUGGACAGUUUGACAGCUUUUCCAUGAUUUCAAUAAUAAAAGUUUAUUUAAUUUCA